UGAGACUGGGCCCUCCACAAACAAGGAAACUGCUGACACUUUGAUAUUGAACUUUAAGCUCCCCAAAUUGUGAGAUAUAAAUUUCUAUGAUUUUAAAACUACCCAAUCUCAGGUAUUUAGUUAUAACAGCGCAAACAAACUAAGACAACUGGGGAUCAGGAGUCAAAUGUUUACGAGUCCCACGUCAUGCUGCUAUUCAGGGGAAAAGAAAGCAAACAAACAAACAAAAAAAAACCCUUCUAUCUCUCUAGGAAGAAUUGGUUAGUAAAUUAGAAAAAAAUUCAAAGUCAAAUGAUAGCAAAACCAAACAAAGUCAGGAGUUGGAAAAGAUACUUCAGAAAUUAAAAACAAUUAAAGGUGUAACCCUGCUAUUUUCUCUUAGAAAUAUAUAUUUUUAAAUACUAUGUCUGUCCUUAUAGAAAAAUUGUGGAAUGUAUACAUCGAAAUCUCAUCGGGGUAUCUGGACGUAGGGGCAUUAUGUUCUUGUUUUUCUGUUCUUUUCCUCUGAUUCAUUCACUUUCUACAAUUUCAAGGUAUCACCUGUUGCUUGCUGCGUCCGACAUGACAUCGGCACUUUGUCUAGGCAAUGGCAUGCAUAUAUAGAAGUUUUCAAAGUCUUUCUCACUUCUAAGCUAGCAAAAAAGAGAGUGGAGGGAAAAGUUUUAUGUCAAGAGAUGUUUUGGCAUAAGGUUUAGCUGAGGUUUGGGCAGAGAGAACUGUUUGGAAAAUCAAACCGGUAGGAGAGGGGAUUUUAAUAAUUGUGUUUUCAUUUCACCCUGGGUUUUCUUAAAAUUCAAGUAAAUGUUGACUUUGCUUUUUGAGGAUGGGUCAUAUUUCUUUGUAUUUCUUUUAUGGAAACAUGACCUUGAGAUUGAACAACAGGAAUUGACUUCAUGGAUCAUUGUUGCAUUUUUCUCAAACACAAAACAUUGCCUCAAAUUAGAAAAGCUAGAUCAUGUUAGUAAGUCUUGUUGAUUUGCUAUUUAAUAAGAACACCACCCUCUAAUUAUUUACAUACCCUCAGUCCACAUUCCUAUCCUCACAUGCUUAGGAUAUUGGAUCUGUCUGAUAUAGAGGAAUUGCAUGAAAUUUAUAAGUUGAAUUUACUUCUUUCAUAAUCAGGUGUGAUAUCCUUGGCUAUUAGAACAAUUGAUACUAUUUUGGGGAGUUCUUCCCAAGAUCUUCCCAAGAGGGUGUUCAGUGGAACACCCUCUCACAUCUGAUUUUAACCCCAGAUUUCCUCAGCAAGCUACUAUGUACCUAUGUCAGACAGAUGUAGCUUAUAUUUGCU
Molecule: long non-coding RNA, 1291 nt
Filed under: Marmota monax (woodchuck)
Lineage: Eukaryota; Metazoa; Chordata; Mammalia; Rodentia; Sciuridae
Source: RNAcentral